This 325-nucleotide ribosomal RNA is filed under the name uncultured eukaryote. RNAcentral describes it as "partial 18S ribosomal RNA". It matches the Rfam family "Eukaryotic small subunit ribosomal RNA", at positions 1470 to 1796 of the family's 1831-position model. The record is from RNAcentral.
CCCUUAGAUGUCCUGGGCCGCACGCGCGCUACACUGAUGCAUUCAAUGAGUCCUACCUUGGCCGAGAGGCCUGGGCAAUCUUUUGAACCUGCAUCGUGAUAGGGAUAGAUUAUUGCAAUUAUUAAUCUUGAACGAGGAAUUCCUAGUAAACGCAGAUCAUCAAUCUGCAUUGAUUACGUCCCUGCCCUUUGUACACACCGCCCGUCGCACCUACCGAUUGAAUGGUCCGGUGAAGCCUCGGGAUUGUGGCGAGUUCCCUUUAUUGGGAGUUUGUCGCGAGAACUUGUCUAAACCUUAUCAUUUAGAGGAAGGUGAAGUCGUAACA